UGUAGAUUUUGCUCAAGCCUUUUAUCUUUGGAAAUCUCUAUUUCCUCAGAGAGCAGCCAUAAAAAGAAAAGGAUAAAGUGACAGUACUACCAAUGUCAAUACAAAACCCAUUUCAGAGACUGUUGUAGUCACAUUUUUUAGUUUACAACCGGAGUUCGAUCGAGAUAUAAAGUUUGAAUGUACGUUUAACGAGAUUUUUACAAUGCCAUACUGUUUUGAUGACUAUUGCUAUGUGAUGAAAUUUAAAUAAAACAAUUUAAUGUGUAUUGAUGUAAUCUUGCAAUGUUAAAGUUCUCUCGAAUGGAUUCAUCGUGAUACAAACAGUGGAACACGAAUAGUCUUCAAGCGGACAUCAGAAUAAUAGACAAUCCAAUUCUCUUCCUAUAACUUAAUCCUUCCUUAUUAUGGAAUAAUAUUGAACACAAAAUCUUCAAAAGUUACCAUCCGACUCAAUUGCUCUAAGUUAAUUGGUUUAAAUAUAAUUGCUUUAAAAUUGCGAAAUUCAAUUAGGAGGAAGUUUGCGGAGUUAUUCAACAUCGGAUCAUAAAAGUGGACGGCUAUGAAAAUUAUUUGUGCGAUUAUUUUAAUCGUGGGUUUUAUGAGCGUGGUGGCGCAGGUGCCAUACGACUAUAUACCGAUCGGCAGAAGUGCGAGGAGGGACGCACCACGGCCGCACCCGUCUGACAUCAACCUUAUUUACGAAAGACUUUUCCCUUCCCGACGCAAAUAUAUCACUUGAACUAG
Long non-coding RNA from Colias croceus (clouded yellow), 744 nucleotides. RefSeq lists it as uncharacterized. The transcript is spliced from 5 exons. The record is from RefSeq and is a predicted model, not a curated record. Lineage: Eukaryota; Metazoa; Arthropoda; Insecta; Lepidoptera; Pieridae.